This is a long non-coding RNA of Phascolarctos cinereus (koala), 720 nucleotides long. RefSeq lists it as uncharacterized. Lineage: Eukaryota; Metazoa; Chordata; Mammalia; Diprotodontia; Phascolarctidae. The record is from RefSeq and is a predicted model, not a curated record.
AAGUCCAGUAUGGCAGGCUGGUACCUGAAAUUCCAUCUUUAGAGAAAGUCAUGAUACUAAAUGAAAUUCCAUCAUCAGAGAUUUGUUUCUAUGAAUCUGAAAGUCUUUGAAGUUUUCUGGAAUUCCCAAGCAAAAUUGGUUGUGGGGAGCUGCCGGGAGCGCCUGCGUCCCCGGCUGUGGUCUGAUGCCGGCAGAGUGUGAAGAGAGAAAGAAUCACGGGCCAGACCAUCUGUUUGUACCAGAUACUGACAUCUCUCUGGCAGUCUUCCAGUCUCCAGGAUCCAUUUUCUUCUGUCUACUUCCAGGCAACUGGCUUUACAGAUCACAGUAACUCCUGAGGGUUAUCACUUUAUGACACCAACAACACAAAUAUGACGCUUUAUCUACAUCAUCCUAACAGUGUGCCCAGAAGAGUGAUCACAAGGUCUUCAUUGAGAAUCAAGAACAAGCUAGACACAGUAAAGAAAGACAGCUGUAUAAGAAACCCAGCAUAGAAGAUACAUGAGACCUAAGGGGAAUUUCAGGAGUUCAACAAGGGGUUACAGAAAGAGAAUGCUGAAGGAAAGGAGUAGAAAAGUUGUAUAGCUUAAUGAGGGGUAAAGGACAAUGAGAAGGCUCCAUAAAACAGAUACUUCUUGUGAGGAAUGUCUUCAUAAAUGUAUGAAAAUAAAACCUGUCUCCCUUCUUUCUCCCCCCUCCCACCCCAAAUACAGAACUAAA